UAGCUCUGUUGGUAGAGCAUGGCGCUUGCAACGCCAGGGUUGUGGGUUCAAUUCCCAC
Molecule: transfer RNA, 58 nt
Filed under: Salmo salar (Atlantic salmon)
Lineage: Eukaryota; Metazoa; Chordata; Actinopteri; Salmoniformes; Salmonidae
Also listed under: 1 other name
Rfam family: tRNA
About the family: Transfer RNA (tRNA) molecules are approximately 80 nucleotides in length. Their secondary structure includes four short double-helical elements and three loops (D, anti-codon, and T loops). Further hydrogen bonds mediate the characteristic L-shaped molecular structure. tRNAs have two regions of fundamental functional importance: the anti-codon, which is responsible for specific mRNA codon recognition, and the 3' end, to which the tRNAs corresponding amino acid is attached (by aminoacyl-tRNA synthetases). tRNAs cope with the degeneracy of the genetic code in two manners: having more than one tRNA (with a specific anti-codon) for a particular amino acid; and 'wobble' base-pairing, i.e. permitting non-standard base-pairing at the 3rd anti-codon position.
Source: Rfam by way of RNAcentral